Molecule: ribosomal RNA, 697 nt
Filed under: uncultured Methanosaeta sp.
Lineage: Archaea; Methanobacteriati; Methanobacteriota; Methanomicrobia; Methanotrichales; Methanotrichaceae
Description: bacterial SSU rRNA
Rfam family: Archaeal small subunit ribosomal RNA
Source: RNAcentral
UCCGGUUGAUCCUGCCGGAGGUUACUGCUAUCGAGGUUCGACUAAGCCAUGCGAGUCGAAUGUAGCAAUACAUGGCGUACUGCUCAGUAACACGUGGACAACCUACCCUUAGGUCGGGGAUAAACCCGGGAAACUGGGUAUAAUACCCGAUAGUCCUCGGAUGCUGGAAUGCACCGAGGUCUAAAGCUCCGGCGCCUAAGGAUGGGUCUGCGGCCUAUCAGGUAGUAGUGGGUGUAGCGUACCUACUAGCCUACGACGGGUACGGGUUGUGAGAGCAAGAGCCUGGAGAUGGAUUCUGAGACACGAAUCCAGGCCCUACGGGGUGCAGCAGGCGCGAAAACUUUACAAUGCUGGAAACAGCGGUAAGGGGACCUUGAGUGCCAGGUUACAAAUCUGGCUGUCGUGAUGCCUAAAAAGCAUUGCAUAGCAAGGGCCGGGCAAGACCGGUGCCAGCCGCCGCGGUAACACCGGCGGCUCGAGUGGUAACCGCUAUUAUUGGGUCUAAAGGGUCUGUAGCCGGCCGGAUAAGUCUUUUGGGAAAUCUGGCAGCUUAACUGUCAGGCUUUCAGAGGAUACUGCCUGGCUCGAGGCCGGGAGAGGUGAGAGGUACUUCAGAGGUAGGGGUGAAAUCUUGUAAUCCUUGAAGGACCACCAGUGGCGAAGGCGUCUCACCAGAACGGACCUGACGGCAAGGGAC